Molecule: ribosomal RNA, 417 nt
Filed under: Grosmannia koreana
Lineage: Eukaryota; Fungi; Ascomycota; Sordariomycetes; Ophiostomatales; Ophiostomataceae
Description: eukaryotic LSU rRNA
Rfam family: Eukaryotic large subunit ribosomal RNA
Source: RNAcentral
UUGACCUCGGAUCAGGUAGGACUACCCGCUGAACUUAAGCAUAUCAAUAAGCGGAGGAAAAGAAACCAACAGGGAUUGCCCCAGUAACGGCGAGUGAAGCGGCAACAGCUCAGAUUUGGAAUCUGGCCCCCAGGGCCCGAGUUGUAAUCUGGAGAGGAUGCUUCUGGCGCGGCGCCUUCCGAGUUCCCUGGAACGGGACGCCGGAAAGGGUGAGAGCCCCGUACGGUUGGACGCCUAGCCUUUGUGAAGCUCCUUCGACGAGUCGAGUAGUUUGGGAAUGCUGCUCAAAAUGGGAGGUAAAUUUCUUCUAAAGCUAAAUACCGGCCAGAGACCGAUAGCGCACAAGUAGAGUGAUCGAAAGAUGAAAAGCACUUUGAAAAGAGGGUCAAACAGUACGUGAAAUUGUUGAAAGGGAAG